This 213-nucleotide ribosomal RNA is filed under the name uncultured bacterium. RNAcentral describes it as "partial 16S ribosomal RNA". It matches the Rfam family "Bacterial small subunit ribosomal RNA", at positions 524 to 735 of the family's 1533-position model. The record is from RNAcentral.
UACAGAGGUCCCGAGCGUUGUUCGGAUUCACUGGGCGUAAAAGGGUGCGUAGGUGGUGAGGAAAGUCGGAUGUGAGAUCGUCCGGGCUCCAACCGGAAACUGCAUUGGAAACUACCUUGCUUGAGGGUUUGAGGGGGACUGGAAUUCUCGGUGUAGCAGUGAAAUGCGUAGAUAUCGAGAGGAACACCAGUGGCGAAGGCGGAGUCCCUGGAA